UACGUAGGGCGCAAGCGUUGUCCGGAAUUAUUGGGCGUAAAGAGCUUGUAGGCGGUCUGUCGCGUCUGCUGUGAAAAUCCGGGGCUCAACCCCGGACUUGCAGUGGGUACGGGCAGACUAGAGUGCGGUAGGGGAGACUGGAAUUCCUGGUGUAGCGGUGAAAUGCGCAGAUAUCAGGAGGAACACCGGUGGCGAAGGCGGGUCUCUGGGCCGUAACUGACGCUGAGGAGCGAAAGCAUGGGGAGCGAACAGG
This 253-nucleotide ribosomal RNA is filed under the name uncultured bacterium. Its description in RNAcentral is "partial 16S ribosomal RNA". It matches the Rfam family "Bacterial small subunit ribosomal RNA", at positions 524 to 776 of the family's 1533-position model. The record is from RNAcentral.